GAUGAACGCUAGCGGGAGGCUUAAUACAUGCAAGUCGAGGGGCAGCGGAAAACUUCGGUUUUGCCGGCGACCGGCGCACGGGUGAGUAACGCGUACGCGACCUACCUUCAAGAAGGGAAUAGCCCCCGGGAAACUGGGAUUAAUACCCUAUGUGAUUAUAGAGCUGCAUGGUUUUAUAAUUAAAGUUCAGGCGCUUGAAGAUGGGCGUGCGUGCUAUUAGGUAGUUGGUGAGGUAAUGGCUCACCAAGCCGACGAUAGCUAGGGGGCGGUGAGAGCGUGAUCCCCCACACGGGUACUGAGACACGGACCCGACUCCUACGGGAGGCAGCAGUAAGGAAUAUUGGACAAUGGGGGGCGAACCCUGAUCCAGCCAUCCCGCGUGCAGGAUGACAGCCCUACUGGGUCGGUAAACUGCUUUUGUUAAGAGAAGAAUCCUUUUCUA
Molecule: ribosomal RNA, 442 nt
Filed under: uncultured bacterium
Lineage: Bacteria
Description: bacterial SSU rRNA
Rfam family: Bacterial small subunit ribosomal RNA
Source: RNAcentral